CUUGAAGUCUGACAGCAAAAUGUACACACAACGAAUGUUUAACUACACUACAGACUCCACUGUUGUGAUAGUAAUUAUGCAAGUUGAUUUCUGAAACCAAGGUUAUAUAUGAAAAAAGAAGAAAAUACUCAAGUUUUCAUUUUUACUGACAGUUAAUCCUACAGUGUUUUCAAGCUUCAUCUGUUUUCAUUGUUUUCAUAUUAUGAGUCCAAUCUUCUAUUUCUAUACCCAAAUACAUGACAAAAAUCUAAGCCGAGAAAAGCAAGUGAAAAUGCAAUUUCUGAGAGGUAUGGUGAUGUAUUUUGUCUCAUGUAGUUCUCUGGGAGAACUUGGCAUCUGUUAUUAUCUUUGCAUCUUGACAUUCUAAUAUUUUAAACAAAUGAACAUUCACAUAUAUGUUGAGGCUGCACCUUGAAUCCUGUGUUCAGUUUUGGGCCCCUCACUGCAGGAAAGACAUUGAGGUACUGGAAGGAGUGCAGAGAAAGGUCACAAAGCGGGUGGAGAGUCUGAGCACAAGUCUGAUGAGGAGCGGCUGAGGGAACUGGGGCUGUUUAGCCUGGAGAAAUGGAGGCUGAGGUGAGACCUGAUCACUGUCUACAACUACCUGAAAGGAGGUUGUAGUGAAAUGGGUGUUGGUCUCUUUUCCCAAGUAACAAGGGACAGGACAAGAGGAAAUUGCUGCAGGGGAGGUUUAGAUUGAAUAUUAGGAAAAAUUUAUCCAUGGAAAUGAUUGUCAGGCAUUGAAACAGGCUGCCCAGGGAAGCAGCUGAAUCACCAUCUCUGGAGACGUUUAAAAGACGUGUGGAUGAUGGUUUAGUGAUGAACUUAGUGCUAAGUUAAUGGUUGGACUCAAUGAUCUUAAAGGUCUUUCCAACUUAUAAGAUUUAAAAAAAAAAAAAAAAAAAGCCUGUGGUAUUAGUGACUUGAGGAUCGUCUGGAACUGUCCUUAUUCCAAAAUACUGGUGAAGUUAGUUUGAUAGAUUCUUCCCCACUUAGAAUUUACAUGUACUGCUUUAGUUCUGUGUGUAUUGGCAAAACAGAAUGUUAAUAGUGACAGUUUAUUUUUUGUAUCCAUUUUCAGAUUUUUAAGGCGACUUUCUUUUCCCUGUACAGUGAGUGAUAGAAACCAUAACUAAAGGGACCUCUAACAGCAAGGAGAAUGGUCUGGCAGAAGAUCAGCUAGAACUUCUUCUGGAAACCUGACCACACCAUUGCAGGAAAACCCUUUCUCUUUAGGGCUAGCUCUUUACAUCUAGCCUGAAUUUGGUACUUCAGGUUCUUUUUUGUUUGAGUGGAAGGUGAACAGAAGUCAAGUACCUCUCAGUUGAUAAUGGCAGUCAUGGGAAAUGGGCAUGAAAUGCAAUAAAAACUUGUCUCAAGCUAUAGAAGUCAUUGGUAUGUAGCUGACAGGUAGAUAUAGGCAGGGUAUCUAUAUUACCCAUUUUUUCAGGCAAAAGUAGCUAACUAUUGCUAAUUAAAACAAACUUUUCAUCACUGAUUCAGGUUAUAAGGGACAGAAAAUAAACAAUCAAACACCUCAGCAAAGAACAUUCCCAUCUCCCCAGCUCAAUUUCACUCCAACACCUCUCCCCCCACAUCAUGGUCUUACCUCCCCUUUUGGUUGGUGUUACACUCAUUGCCUCCCAGUCCCUUUGGUGAGGCAGCACAGGAGGCUGGGAACGCUAACUAAUACUUUCUCUCUGUUGCUCCGCUGCUCUUCUUACCAGUUUUCCUCUACCUUCAUGUGUUUUUCCCAUGUCUACAGUCCCUUGGUCUUUUUGUCCCUGUCCCAGUGUGGUUUGCCCACGGCUAUGAUCCCUCAAAAGUGGGAAAAACAUUCUUAUUUGAUAUCUAAUAUCUGACAGCAUUGUUUGCCAUCCUGCACUUUGUCAUGAUUGAUAAGUUUACAUUAAAAAACAAACCCCCCAAAUCUCCCAAAAGCGCCCCCGCCCCACAAAUAAAAAACAACUAAAACAAAACCCCCCAAAAUCCCAAAAGAAACCAACCCAGAGUCCCCCAGUGCUGCUGAGACAAUGAUAUAAGCUGAUUUUGCUGCAGCAUCUGAUUUUUGGUACCCAGUACUUUCGCAAAAAAUUCUUCUGCUGGAUGCUUACUUUUCUGUCUAGCUACACUAAGGACAUAGAUGCAAUAUUUCCCAAAGAGGGAACAUUUGCACGGAAAGUGUGAAGAUGAAUUCCUGAUUCUUCCAUUCUGUCUCCAGCAGAAGAUCAGUUGUUGAAAAUCUGGUUAUUCAGGUACAGCCAGCAAAGAAUGAAAUUAUUACCUGUUGCUGGGAGACUGGGUAGAAACAACACAUGGUGAAAUCAACACCCUUUUCCAGCAGGGCCAAUGGUAAACAUGAUACUUUACAGAAGCCUUAGCAUUUCUAUAUAGUUUUUAAUUAUAAACCUUUAAUAAAAUGAAUGAAAGAAAAAAAAAAAGGACUAAAAAUGAGAGAAGGAUGAAAAAAACCAUCAAGUAUUUUUAGUUCUUUGUACCGGCUGAAAGACAAAAGCUCCAAGCCAGCAGGAGAAUAUGUUUCCUUUGAGAGAGACAGCUGAACAUGGUUAUCCAAGCAUAAAAUACUACUGAAGAAAAAUGAAGAUGGAUUUUCUUAGUCUUGUUUGUUAAGAUUGGCAUAUGUCUCCUGGCCUUAGUUAUUACAGUGAAAUAAAAAAACACCCUUGGUGCAAGAAAUGGAAUUAAAUAUGAAGAGUUUUAUUAUUCAAAUAAUGAAAUACUGCCCCACCGAUGAAUGUGAAAACAUAGAUAUGUUGGGGACUGUGUCUUGGCUCAUUCAGAUCAGAGCUUUGGCCACAGGGGUGUGACAGGGGCUUCAGGUUGUACAUCCCUUGGGUCACAGAAGCAACAAUAUUUGAGAGAAAUCAUGACUUUGAAAUAAAUAGAUAAAUUUGAACUCUCCAGUUUGCAAAGAAUGCUCAGGAAUUAAGAAAUGGGCAUUUCAGAAGUGCAAAUAAAGCCACUUGAAGAGUAACUCCACACUGAACAGGAGAGCUGAGAAAUCAGAGUCAGUGGAAACGGAUUGACACAGUGACUUGUCUGACACAUUCAGUCAUGGAGAAGAACACACAGAAGCUUCAACAUGGGUUCUACAAGUACUGAAAUCCUUACAAGGGAAAAGCAGAAAAGCAGAUGUUUGUGUUGCUAAUCUGAGAGAAGUGUGGAAGCAUAAGCAGAUGCCAUUAUUUGUGUCCACAUUAACUGUAGAAAGAUGUUGAAUCAUCAGGACUCCUUUCAACAUACCUUUCCUUGAACACACACUGCUUAUUGCUUGGAGAGGUGGUAUGAUGCCACUAUCUGUAUUAUUUUCAGCUGUUACCAGCAAGGAUGUGGUAAGAGACCUUCCUCUGAUUGAGGAGAAUCAGGAAAGUGUCUUCCAAGGUAAAAUCGUGGUAACACUGUCUGAAAAUAUUGUGGGAGACGAUAUGACUUUCAUCACAGACAUUGGUUUCUAUUAAUGUAGAAUUAUCAACCUCAAAUCAUCAAUAUUUGAGGAUGUGUUCAUUGUUUCCACUCAUGAUUAAUCCCAUUUGAUGUAGAAAGUCAGAAAGCAGAUGGACAUGAUUUUGUAGGAGCAGUCCCUUUUAGUGGAUACAGAAGUAAUAAUAGGUAAUGAAAAUGAUUAAAGGUGUAAAGAUGUAAUGGUAAAGUAAGAAGAUCUAAUGACUAUCAAUUAAUAACUUCUGUCAUGAUAACUGAAGAGUUCAUUGAACAGAUCCUCAGGUAACAACCUCAGCAUUCCUGUACCAGAUGAAUAUAGUAUUCAGUUCUUUAAGCAUUUAGUUCUAUUUUUAGCAUUCAUCUCAUUAGAAUGGAGUUUUCUGGCACCUACUUUUGCUUUUGAUGAAUUUUAAUUAAAAGUUUCUCAGGAUGUUGAGAAUGUUUAGGAUAUGUGUGUUCAUCAUUGGAAACAUUCUGAAAAUUCGGUAUUACAAAUCGGAAUAUAGUUUUGAAAAAAAGAAAAGUUCUUGCUGCUCAAAGGAUUACAUGGAGGGAAUUUAGAAUUAUACUGUUCUUGACAUUUGUCUUAAAAUUGACCAUGUCUGCCAAAGAGCUUUAUUUCUGCUUCUAACUCAGGCAAAUUGUGCUGAAUUGAGACAGGAGUUUUGUCACGUUUUCACUGCUAAAUUUCCAGAACUUCUUUUUACCAGAUUUUGAAGAGACUAAUUUUCAGCGAGUGCUGAUGCUACAUCUAUUUCUGGUGUUGUUGGAAGGGGCCUGUGCAUCUGUAGGGGAAAGGUUACGUGUUUUAGACCUAUCAAAAGGAGUCAUCUAGGGAGACAUCCUAAAUAGCUAUUUUUUUUUCUUGAAGUCGAAAUAAAUAUUUACUUUUAAAUGCCAUUUCUAUAUACAUAAAGAGAACAUACUUAAUUCUUUUCAGCAUAUUUUAUAAUGUUUUUGUGUACAGCAGAGAGAAAUAUUAUGUGGACUCAGGUAUCUUAAAGGGCUUCCCAGUCAGCAACUCCAGCAUCAGUAUAAGUAGAAAUUAUUCUCCUUAAGAAUAUUUACCCUGUUUAAUUUCUCCUAGCCUGUGAAUCAAAUAAUUAUUUUCCUGAUUAAACACACAGUUCACCCUGUUUCAGUAAGUACAUAUUGGCAAUAUCAGACAGAAGGUUUAUUUAAACACAUUCUGACUGGAAUACCCAAGUUGUGCUGAUGGGGAGCCAAGUUCAAGAAGCUCACUGAAGUGUGUGCGGGGAGGAUGCCAAACCUGGGGAGGGAGAGGAACAUGCAGGAUGAUACUUUAAUCAUUGACUAAGUCUAUCACUCUCUGACUAGUGGCCUUUUUUGAUCCAUGAAUUAUGAAGAACUUGGAUAUUGAGUGGUAAAGUAUGAAUGUUUCUGGUUUUCCAGAAUGAUGUCCAAACUAAUUCAACACUUUAAACAUUAUUUCUGACUUUGUUGCUGCUUCAUUCUUCAUGGUUAACAACAAGAAAAAACAGUCUCAGAACAGGCACACUAACUUACUCGAGGCUCGGGUCCUUAUUUAGCUCAUUUAUGGCUAAAUUCAGACUUAUCAAAUAUUAGUUGAUAUUCAGUUAACUUAUGAGCACAGACCACACAUCAAUGCAUCCAUUUCCCCCCCGUUCUAAGUGAAUUGUCCCUUUUUAAUUCAAUUAGCAUUGCUCCCUGGUUCAGCAGUUCACAAGGUUAAUGUAUUAAUGUUUUUAUGGAAACAUGCCAACUACUCUUAAACUUUGCCUGAAGAACCACUUGAAGUGAAAGCAUUCUUAAGAAAUUUGAAUGCUGGAAGUACAUAUUUAAUAGAUAUAAAUCCAUGCAGUCUUCUACGCUGCUGGGCCUACUUAGCUGAGCAAUAGUUUGUUUUACUAUUCUGUACCACAAGGAAAGAAAUGUUUCUGUUGUGCAACAGUUCUGCUUCUUGGAUCACUUCCACAUGUAAUUUUUAACUCUAUAUCAGCAAUUGCAAAGUCUGAGACAAUUCAGCUUCUGUUUCAUUUUCAGAUGCAGGACAUUUUCUUUACUGUUAUUUCUUUUAUUAUGGCUAGUGAAUUUAACACUGACUUUAAAAGUCUGGUACAGAUAAAUGUCACUCUCCUGUUCAUCCAUUAGAGAAGAGGAAAUUCCUAAUUGUGAGGUUGAGAAAAUGGGAAAAGUAAGCAACAGAUUUUGUUUGUUUGUUUGUUUGUUUGUUUUUGUUUUGUUUUUGUUUGUCUUGUUUUGUUAUGUUUUUUCUUUUCCUUACACCUGCAUUUCCUCUGUUGCUGUUUUCUGUGAUGCAGUUACUGCUGCUGCUGCAGAGGCCAGGUAAGAAGAGGUUAGGAAAGCAAUGUGUUCCUCUCAGAAAAUCAGAAGUUGUCAGAAUAUUCUAGACCAAGUUUACAUAGGUAUUACCGUCUUUUUAAUUUGGAUCUUUUUUGCAUGAAAAAUAACCUUUAUUCUCUCAAAACCAGAAAAGGACAGACUUCUAUUUCUUUUGCUAUUUAUUUCAGUGUUUUCCUUCCUUUGCCCUUUUUUAUUGUGGCUAAUACAGAAGAAUGAAGAUGGAGAGAGCAAAAACCAAAAUCCAAACCAGUUUAAGUGGAUUGUGAGUAGGAAAGCCUGACUUUAAUACUGGAUGAUACAACCAUUGCUGCUAAUGAAAGAGCAACAGAGUACAGAAGCACAGAGGUUUGGUGCUGGGUGUUUACUGUACAUAUUCCCAUGGGACUUUGGUCACUUCUUUAGAGUCCUUACCAUGCUCUACAGUCUCAAAUAGAAGGUUGAAAAACUGAAAUUGUACAAAACUCAAGGACACUGAGAUGGCUUUUUAGCUUGCCAUGGUUCCAUGGCAUAAAUGGUUUUUAACAUAAAAGACCCCAUUUAGGGGGAAUUUUUCAGAAUUAAUUAAUUUUCUUCCCUUAAAUAUAAAAGUUCUGAUGUGAUGUUUCUCUACUAGUUGCUUCAUUUGAUCCUCUUUUCUCCUUCACUAAAAAACCCUCUCCAAACCCCAAAAAUAAACAAACAAAAAAGCUUGAACUUUUGUGUAGAACUUUUUAGGUAGAGAACCAUGUUUGGAGCAGAUACAAGAUACUUGUAGAAAUGUUUUUAGAAAAGUUUUGUUCCAUUCAAAUGUGUUACUUUUGGAAAGGCUAUCAAUGUAAUAAUUCAAAGAAAUAACACAAAAGCCUUCCUUUUUUUUUUUUUUUUUUUAAUAAGUACUUGAGCAAUGAGAUCUAAGGAGGACUGUGAAUGAGUAAAUAUAAUGAAUGAACUUUAUUUGUUUAAAAUUAACACAAACUGACACACUUCAGUCUUGUUUUUUUUUCUUGACUUACCCCAAUAUCUUUCACAAAUUUUUGCCUGGUGUCUGUAUGGACACAAAAUAAAAUCAAUGUGCAACUGCAUUACUUUUGAUUUUUUCUAGGUUGGUACAUUUAGGAGAAUUUGUUUCCAUGAGAACAGAUUGCUGAGGAAAUAAUUCAGCUUACGUCUUACUGUACUGAUCAAUGAACUCUGGAUUUUGUUGCAGUUGUGCUGGGCUCCACCUUGAAUACAAUGCUGACAGACCAAGGUUUAAGUCUGCUCUCCUAAAAUCCAGAGCUGUGGUCCUUCAUUUUGCCCUGUUCGCUCCUUUGGGAUCUUGAGCUCUACCACCUCAGGAUCACUGCAGCGAAAUUGUCCUCAACUUCCAGACCCAUAACCAGUUCUUCCCUUUUUGUAAGUAUCAGGCCCAGCAGAGAACCUGGUCUCUUCCAAAUAAUUAGAGUUUGUCCUGGUUUUGGCUGGGAUAGAUUUAAAUUUCUUCCUAGUAGCUGGCAUAGUUCUGUGUUUUGGACUUAGGAUGCGAAUAAUGUUGAUAACACACUGAUGUUUUGCUUGUUGCUAAGCAGUGCUUACAGUAAGUCAAGGACAUUUCAGUCCCUCUUUCCGCCCUGCCAUGGAAGAGGCUAACUUUGCACAAGAAGCUGGAAGGGAACCCAGCCAUUGACAGCAGACCCAAACUGACCAAAGGGAUAUUCCAUACCAUAUGGUGUCAUGGUGAACAAAAAACUGGGCAAAGUUGGCUGAGGUGACAGUGGCUGCUGCUCAGGGACUGACUGAGCAUCUCUCGGUGGUGAGCACUUGCAUUGUGCAUCAUUUGUUUUGUAUAUUCUUUUAACAUCAUUAAUAGUAUUAUUAAUACUCUUUUUAGCCUGCCUUUUCUAUCCUGUUAAACUGUCUUUAUCUCAAUGUAUGAGUUUAACCUUUUUCUCAGUUCUCUCCCCCUUCCCACCACGGGGAGUGAGUGAACAGCUGUGUGGUGUUUAGCUGCCCGCCAGGUUAAACCACAACAGUUGUACAAUAGAUGUGUGGCACUAUGCAACAGAGUCUGCCCUCCACCUGUACGAGUAGUUGUAGCUGCAGCCUACCAUUGAAGCUACCGGUAGGCUAGAGCUCAUGUUUUCCAUUAAACUAAUGAUAGUUCUUUACCUUUGAAGUAAUUUAGCAGUAAUGAAAAAAAAACAGCAAUAAUUUGAAAGCUGGCUCAUGCUUUGUGACUGGGUGAACUGAGAUCUGGGAAGACUGGACUCUUGUUGAAGAUUCUGUGGAAGAGUAACUCCCUGAAAGGGACAGGUAAUAGGAAACAAUCAGCAAUCAUUUACCUGAAUGAGAUAACACAGAAAUGCAAUAAAUGGGAAAUAUUGGCUAUGUCUAUAUUAACAAGGAUUUGGUUUGAAAAGAAUGGAGCUAGAAAGUGAAAUAUGUAGUGGGCAUCGUGUUCACUUAAUGGUUUUAUGUGGAAAAACAUUGUCUGGGUUUCUGGUUGCAAUCUCCAGCUUUUUAAUUCUUGUUUCCCUGUGGUGCUAACCAAAGCAGCUUGAGCAUUAAAAUUUAAUCUGUCUUUACUUCUUCUUGGAAAAUUUAAAUUAAAUAUAUAAUUUAAACAUUUUAGUAGUUGUUUAUUGCACUAUCAUAGUGUACUUAUGCGUUUCAACUCAUUGAAGAAUGAUGGGCUGUUACAGAUGUUUUAAUGAAAGACUGUAUUAAAAAUACCAGAGUAAUGUAAAACAUAUUGCAAAUGAGUUCAAAAUUAAAGGCACUUCAUUUCCUUUAUUUGAUUCCUACAGUUUUGCCGGUGUUCAGACUAACGGCUGAUAGUAUGUGAUGGCAAUACAGAAAUCAAGCUGGUGUAUCAAGCAUGCUCACACACUAAAGAUUUACU
Molecule: long non-coding RNA, 8668 nt
Organism: Columba livia (rock pigeon)
Lineage: Eukaryota; Metazoa; Chordata; Aves; Columbiformes; Columbidae
Exons: 12
Source: RefSeq, a predicted model, not a curated record